RNAcentral lists this long non-coding RNA (433 nucleotides) under Salvia miltiorrhiza (redroot sage). RNAcentral describes it as "long non-coding RNA (SMIL_LNC001235)". Lineage: Eukaryota; Viridiplantae; Streptophyta; Magnoliopsida; Lamiales; Lamiaceae. The record is from RNAcentral.
AAAAUAUUUCAAUUUGCCCUCCCAAUAGGAUAAUAUUAUCCAACAUUUGUGAGAAAAACAGUGAAAAGAGGCUGCACGAAUUAAUUUUCCAGCCUUACAAGAGAAAAUUAUCCAUCAUAGGAAACAUGUGAAAAUGCCGGAAAAUAUAUUUUUUCUAACAUUUUCUAUCAAAUUAAACACACCCUUAGACCUUAUAUAAAAAUGACUUAUACCCAACAGAUUUUAUGUGUUUCCUCAAAUAAGAAAAGAAAAAGUUUAAAACAAAUUCGGACAAACAAAAUAAAAAAACAGCUUAACUAAAAAGAACUUCUACAGAUAGAGGAGCUCAAACAUUCAUCAAGUACACUACAGGACAACACCAACCGACAAUUAAAAAGAUAAAAUAAAUGACUUACUAGCCUAUAACAACCACCAAAUACUAAACUGAUAAAUU